This 430-nucleotide ribosomal RNA is filed under the name Pseudomonadota bacterium. Its description in RNAcentral is "Proteobacteria bacterium partial 16S ribosomal RNA". It matches the Rfam family "Bacterial small subunit ribosomal RNA", at positions 355 to 776 of the family's 1533-position model. The record is from RNAcentral. Lineage: Bacteria; Pseudomonadati; Pseudomonadota.
UGGGGAAUAUUGGACAAUGGGGGGAACCCUGAUCCAGCCAUGCCGCGUGUGUGAAGAAGGCCUUAUGGUUGUAAAGCACUUUAAGCGAGGAGGAGGGUACUGGUAUUAAUACUACCAGGUACUGGACGUUACUCGCAGAAUAAGCACCGGCUAACUCUGUGCCAGCAGCCGCGGUAAUACAGAGGGUGCGAGCGUUAAUCGGAUUUACUGGGCGUAAAGCGUGCGUAGGCGGCUAAUUGAGUCGGAUGUGAAAUCCCCGAGCUUAACUUGGGAAUUGCAUUCGAUACUGGUUAGCUAGAGUGUGGGAGAGGAUGGUAGAAUUCCAUGUGUAGCGGUGAAAUGCGUAGAGCUCUGGAGGAAUACCGAUGGCGAAGGCAGCCAUCUGGCCUAACACUGACGCUGAGGUACGAAAGCAUGGGGAGCAAACAGG